Molecule: ribosomal RNA, 120 nt
Filed under: Triticum dicoccoides
Lineage: Eukaryota; Viridiplantae; Streptophyta; Magnoliopsida; Poales; Poaceae
Source: RNAcentral
GGAUGCGAUCAUACCAGACACUAAAGCACCGGAUCCCAUCAGAACUCCAAAGUUAAGCGUGCUUGGGCGAGAGUAGUACUAGGAUGGGUGACCUCCUAGGAAGUCCUCGUGUUGCAUUCC